This 365-nucleotide unclassified non-coding RNA is filed under the name soil metagenome. RNAcentral's name for it is "partial contains 5.8S ribosomal RNA, internal transcribed spacer 2, and large subunit ribosomal RNA". The stretch from base 1 to 120 matches the Rfam family "5.8S ribosomal RNA", at positions 35 to 154 of the family's 154-position model. The record is from RNAcentral.
GAUGAAGAACGCAGCGAAAUGCGAUAAGUAGUGUGAAUUGCAGAAUUACCUGAAUCAUCGAAUCUUUGAACGCACAUUGCGCCCCCUGGUAUUCCUGGGGGCAUGCCUGUUCGAGCGUCAUUAACAACCAAUCGGGCGGGGCUUUUGCAUGCUCCCGCUCGGCCAUGGGGGAUGGACGUCGUCGGACGCCCACCCCCGAAAUGCAACGGCGGACGGCCACCCGUGGCACUGCGGCGUAGUAAGUUAACCCUUCGCGCGCGCCCACGGAGUGGACUGCCCGGCCGCUUGAACCCCCACACAUCCUACGGUUGACCUCGGAUCAGGUAGGGAUACCCGCUGAACUUAAGCAUAUCAAUAAGCGGAGA